This 250-nucleotide ribosomal RNA is filed under the name uncultured prokaryote. RNAcentral describes it as "partial 16S ribosomal RNA". It matches the Rfam family "Bacterial small subunit ribosomal RNA", at positions 524 to 773 of the family's 1533-position model. The record is from RNAcentral.
UACGGAAGAUGCGAGCGUUAUCCGGAUUUAUUGGGUUUAAAGGGCGCGUAGGCGGUUUAUCAAGUCAGCGGUGAAACGCAAGGGCUUAACCCUUGACCUGCCGUCGAAACUGGUGGACUGGAAUGCGGAUGCUGUGGGAGGAAUGUGUGGUGUAGCGGUGAAAUGCAUAGAUAUCACACAGAACACCGAUUGCGAAGGCAUCUCACAAAUCCGUGAUUGACGCUGAGGCACGAAAGUGUGGGGAUCAAAC